Molecule: long non-coding RNA, 949 nt
Filed under: Theobroma cacao (cacao)
Lineage: Eukaryota; Viridiplantae; Streptophyta; Magnoliopsida; Malvales; Malvaceae
Description: long non-coding RNA (TCAC_LNC000035)
Source: RNAcentral
AGCCAUGGAAAGAUUUCCUGAGAAAGUUUCUGUCGCAAUUUUUGCCACCGCUGUUAUGCCAGGCCCUGACUUCAGUUUUGCUUCAAUAGAAGAAGAGGUACUUGUUCAUCACUCUCUCUUCCCUUUUCCCACAUUGUCACACACACCUAAGAUGAAAACAAGCAGGCGUUAGAAACUAUAAAAUCCUUUGUCUCUUUCUCUUCGGCAUUUUUGGCACAAACCCAAAGAUCAACCUUUUUUUCUGAUUUCAUUUUCCCUCUUUUUUGCAUAAUUGGAUCUUUAUUGGCACAAUUAUGCAAUCAUAUAAUCAAAUACCCUACCAUUUUCAAUUACAAUCUGACACAAUUUCCUUCAUAUGUCAAUUUAUCAAAUAAUCAUCAAUGGAAUUUUCCUUCUACAUUUUUCUUUGCUUGUUGUUUCUCGGGCAGUUUACUAGGAAAGGAAUAUUUUCCCAGAUGGAUGGGAAAUAUACAUUUGACAACGGGCCUGACCAUCCUCCGACCUCCGUGCUCGCCGGGCACAACUAUAUUUCAUCAAAUGUAUACCAGCUAUCCCCUCCCGAGGUAAAAAAAGAAUUCAUUUCUUCUCCAAUUCCCAAAGAAAGUCAUAGCAAAGGAUGCUUUUAUCAGAUUUCUUUUCGGUUAUAAACGGAUGAUAUCAUUUAUUGAAAGCAGGAUUUGAUGCUUGCAACGGUUCUGAUAAGACCAACUGCUCUGUAUGGAGGCAAAAUAUCUCUAGAGCUUACCAAGGAGAGUUAUGGAUCAGUAAGUAGAGUGUACAUUGUGUGUGAUCAGGAUCAUGGGAUACCUGAAAACUUGCAGAGGUGGAUCAUUGAAAACAAUCCACCAGAUGAGGUGAAGCUGGUCUCUGGCUCUGAUCAUAUGGUUAUGUUUUCAAAGCCUAAGGAGCUGUGCUCUUGCCUCCAAAGAAUUGCAGAGAAAUAUUCUUG